UUAGGAAUCAUGUUCUUAUUUAGAUUCUGCUCACUUCCCUAUCCUUUUCUUCUUCUCAGUUUCAGCGUUCAAAAAGCUGUGUGAAUUUCACACUACCUAAAUGAAAAUUUAAAAUUAUCCAAUUCCACCAAAAUUUAUUCAGAAUCUAGUGUGUGCCAGGCAUUUUGUUAAGCACUGGGUAUGAACAACUGAGUAAAAUACUCCAGAAUCUGAUACGUUAGAAGGAAUUUAGAAAAGUAAAUACAGAGCUGUAAUAAAAUUAGGAUCGGUCCCAUGAUAGCAUUGUUUUUAAAAUGUGAGUGUAUAAGUGAGCAAGAUUAAUUUCAUUGGGUAGUGAGAAGAUAGGGAGAAACCAGAGAAUUGUAAAUACAUUUGAUCUGAUACUGGAAAGAGGUCAUGUAGACCAGAAAAGGAAAGAUACCCAGAUACCUCAAGGUGAGGAACUAGCACUAGGAAGAAGCACGGUGUGUUCAAGGUAACGAGCUGUUGGGGUGAAGCGGAAGAAAGCAGCCGAUGAUCUUAAAGCUAUCAACUGUGGGACUGUUAAGCACAUCCGUAUGAGAGACCACCUGAGCAGGCUUAGUGUGAGCAACAAGGCUGUCUAUUCACUUGGAUGCAAGUGGGCUGAGUCCGAGAAAGGAGUCAGCAAAGAGUGGUGGGAUUAUCAUUGGUUCUUACAGGUUUGGGAUAGGCGGUGGAAUUAGGAGCAGAUUUUUCGUGCAGUGGAUGGAUGUUACAAAGUACAUUCACAAGAGUUGGUAG
RNAcentral lists this long non-coding RNA (762 nucleotides) under Homo sapiens (human). RNAcentral's name for it is "HSALNT0073133". Lineage: Eukaryota; Metazoa; Chordata; Mammalia; Primates; Hominidae. The record is from RNAcentral.